GGGACGUAUCAGUGACUCAAACUUUUGUGUUUUUUAUUUUCAUUUGGGACUUUGUAAUUUUUCUUUUUCUUAAAUUUUUCUUUUUGGUCGGUAUAACGGAUGAUAACUUCGGUUACAUCUAUCACUAUUAUGUCGAUUUUGUUAUGAUUGCCUGGUUCCGAAAAUGGUUGUUCUAUCACAUCCCACCAUCAAACUCCAUUUCACCAACUCAAUUCGGUAUCAACUAUUCUCUUCUCUAAUGUGACAUCUUGUGAGGGUAAUGUUAU
RNAcentral lists this long non-coding RNA (266 nucleotides) under Linum usitatissimum (flax). RNAcentral's name for it is "long non-coding RNA (LUSI_LNC007380)". The record is from RNAcentral. Lineage: Eukaryota; Viridiplantae; Streptophyta; Magnoliopsida; Malpighiales; Linaceae.